GGGUGAGUAACACGUGGGUAACCUGCCUUAUAGAGGGGGAUAGCCUUCCGAAAGGAAGAUUAAUACCGCAUAAUAUGUUUUUAUCGCAUGGUAGAAACAUCAAAGGAGCAAUCCGCUAUAAGAUGGACCCGCGGCGCAUUAGCUAGUUGGUGAGGUAACGGCCCACCAAGGCGACGAUGCGUAGCCGACCUGAGAGGGUGAUCGGCCACAUUGGAACUGAGACACGGUCCAGACUCCUACGGGAGGCAGCAGUGGGGAAUAUUGCGCAAUGGGGGAAACCCUGACGCAGCAACGCCGCGUGAAUGAAGAAGGCCUUAGGG
RNAcentral lists this ribosomal RNA (320 nucleotides) under Clostridium subterminale. RNAcentral's name for it is "bacterial SSU rRNA". It matches the Rfam family "Bacterial small subunit ribosomal RNA", at positions 104 to 422 of the family's 1533-position model. The record is from RNAcentral. Lineage: Bacteria; Bacillati; Bacillota; Clostridia; Eubacteriales; Clostridiaceae.